Molecule: ribosomal RNA, 502 nt
Filed under: uncultured bacterium
Lineage: Bacteria
Description: partial 16S ribosomal RNA
Rfam family: Bacterial small subunit ribosomal RNA
Source: RNAcentral
GAUUAACGCUGGCGGCGUGCCUAACACAUGCAAGUCGAGCGGCAGCGAGUUUUACACUGAAUUCUGGAAGCUUCUAGUUGAAAGAGAAGAUUUAUUCAAGAAUUUUGUGUAAAAUGUCGGCGAGCGGCGGACGGCUGAGUAACGCGUGGGAACGUACCCCAAAGUGAGGGAUAACGCAUCGAAAGGUGUGCUAAUACCGCAUAUGGUCUUCGGAUUAAAGCCUUCGGGCGCUUUGGGAACGGCCUGCGUAAGAUUAGAUAGUUGGUGGGGUAAUGGCCUACCAAGUAGACGUUCUUUAACUGGUAUGAGAGGAUGAUCAAUCAGGCUGGAGCUGAGACACAGUCCCGUAUCCUACGGGAGGCAGCAGUGAGGAAUCUUCCACACUGGGCGAAAGCCUGAUGGAGCAACGCCGCGUGCAGGAUGAAGGCCUUCGGGUUGUAAACUGCUUUUAUAAGUGAGGAUUAUGACAGUAACUUAUGAAUAAGGAUCGGCUAACUACGUG